GACGAACGCUGGCGGCGUGCUUAACACAUGCAAGUCGAACGGAAAGGCCCUGCUUUUGCUGGUUGCUCGAGUGGCGAACGGGUGAGUAACACGUGAGUAACCUGCCCCUGACUUUGGGAUAACUUUUGGAAACUCGGGCUAAUACCGGAUAGGAUCUCCUGCUGCACGGUGUGGGUUGGAAAGUUUCGGCGGUUGGGGAUGUACUCGCGGGUUAUCGGCUUGUUGGGGUGGUAGUGGCUUACCAAGGCUUUGAAGGCUAGCCGGCCUGAGAGGGGAGACGGCGACAUUGGGCCUGAGAUAGGGACCAGAAGCGUAUGGGAGGCAGCAGUCGGGAAUAUUGCAGAAUGGGCGGACGUGAGUGACGACAACGCCGGGUGCGGGAUGACCGCCUUCGGGUUAUAAACCGAUGUGGCCUGUAACGAAGCGUGCGUGACGGUAAUGGGUAAGAAAGCAACGGCUAACUACGUG
Molecule: ribosomal RNA, 468 nt
Filed under: uncultured bacterium
Lineage: Bacteria
Description: partial 16S ribosomal RNA
Rfam family: Bacterial small subunit ribosomal RNA
Source: RNAcentral